AACUUGCCUAUAUACAGGAAUACGUACAUAGAUGCAUAUAUAUAUAUAUAUAUAUAUAUGUGUGUGUGUGUGUGUGUAUGUAUGUAUGUAAUAAUCGAUCAGUAAAAGAAAAAUAUCAUUUUCUUAUCAUACUUUAACGAAUUAUAAACGCUUCAGGCUAUAUCAUAGUUACCUAAUAUUUUCGAUAAUUUAGAUUUCUCUACUUUAUUCGUAGGUAAGUCACAGUAAUCUCUUGAUCCUAAAAUAAGGACACAAAGCUUUGUCUAUAGCACAAUUACAUUAGGCGCAUAUUAAAGAAAGAAAGAAAAGAAGAAAAACGAAAGAAAAAAAGAAAGAAGGAAGAAGAACAGCUCCUUUUACCGUUUCAAAUAACAUAACUGUAAGAAAAAUGAAAAACUUGCCUGGAUAUUUAUUUCGGUGAUCCCAAUUAGGAUAAUCAAGAUGGUCACGUUCAUCGUUCUUUAUUUUAUUAACGAUGGAAUAUAUCCCUCGUUUGUGAUGUAAUAUCAUGUCGCUCUCCCCACGAUACUUAAGUCUGUAAUAUAAUGUUAUCAUAUAUUUGCUAUUUUAUUUAUA
This is a long non-coding RNA of Vespula pensylvanica (western yellowjacket), 576 nucleotides long. RefSeq lists it as uncharacterized. Lineage: Eukaryota; Metazoa; Arthropoda; Insecta; Hymenoptera; Vespidae. The transcript has 2 exons. The record is from RefSeq and is a predicted model, not a curated record.